Bombyx mori (domestic silkworm) is the source of this 807-nucleotide long non-coding RNA. RefSeq lists it as uncharacterized. Lineage: Eukaryota; Metazoa; Arthropoda; Insecta; Lepidoptera; Bombycidae. The transcript has 2 exons. The record is from RefSeq and is a predicted model, not a curated record.
CCUACCCGCGCGGACUCACAAGAGGUCCUACCACCCGUAAUUACGCAAAUUAAAAUUUGCGGGUUUGAUUUUUAUUACACGAUGUUAUUCCUACACUGUGGAAGUCAAUCGAGAACAUUUGUUGAGUACGUAUUUCAUUAGAAAAAUUGGUACCCGCCUGGGAUUCGAACACUGGUGCAUCGCUCAAGACGAAUGCACCGGACGUCUUAUCCUUUAGGCCACGACGACUUCAAAAUUCAAAAUUCGUUUUUACAACCAGAUACAAUAAAGGUGAAUGCGAACUAGCCCUAAUCAUAUACUACACAAAUUAAUACAAACAGAAACAAAAUGAACAUGCAACUUAUUUAUUGAUAACAUACACCUGUAAAAAUAAUAAAAUUAAUAAGGCGUUAAACAACGAAUUCAGUAACACAAGGGCCGGAUGUUCAAUUAUAAAACCAUGAAAUUUAAACUUUACAAGAAAUAUCAUAAUGUUUCAUUUUAAAGUUCAGUUAGAAUUAUAAUACCUAAUUGGUUAAGUAUCCAAAAUAGUUAUAAAUAGCGAUCAAAUAUUUUGAACAUUCAGUUGCAUCAAGAAAAAAAAACAAAGAGAACGCCUUGUAAAAUGGAAACGCUUAACAUAUUCUUCGUAUUGUGCUUGCUUUUCUUCAUCGCUUUCACUCAAAUUGUUCAAGAAACCCCAGAUCAAGAAUAUCCAGAUGCUAACGAAUUGUUAUACAUAUACAUGGACGCUGCGAAUUCUAGUGAAGAAGUCCUAUUAUCUGCUAUUAUUGAAGUACCAAGAAUUAAAUAAAAUUAUUCUCAAUC